Molecule: ribosomal RNA, 1389 nt
Filed under: uncultured bacterium
Lineage: Bacteria
Description: partial 16S ribosomal RNA
Rfam family: Bacterial small subunit ribosomal RNA
Source: RNAcentral
UAGAGUUUGAUCCUGGCUCAGGAUGAACGCUGGCGGCGUGCCUAACACAUGCAAGUCGAGCGAGAACCGUCUGAAUGACACUUCGGUAGAAUGAAGGCGGGGAAAGCGGCGGACGGGUGAGUAACGCGUAGGUAACCUGCCCCUUACUCAGGGAUAGCCUAGGGAAACCUGGAUUAAUACCUGAUGAAGCAAAGGUACAGAAGUAUUUUUGCCAAAGAUUGAUCGGUGAGGGAUGGACCUGCGUCUGAUUAGUGAGUUGGUGAGGUAAUGGCUCACCAAAGCGACGAUCAGUAGCCGACCUGAGAGGGUGAUCGGCCACAUUGGAACUGAGACACGGUCCAAACUCCUGCGGGAGGCAGCAGUGGGGGAUAUUGCACAAUGGGCGGAAGCCUGAUGCAGCAACGCCGCGUGAGCGAAGAAGGUCUUCGGAUCGUAAAGCUCUGUCCUGGGGGAAGAAACAAAUGACGGUACCCCGGGAGGAAGCCCCGGCUAACUACGUGCCAGCAGCCGCGGUAAUACGUAGGGGGCGAGCGUUAUCCGGAAUUAUUGGGCGUAAAGAGUACGUAGGUGGUUUGGAAAGCGUGUGGUGAAAUUGCGGGGCUUAACCCCGUCCAGCCAUGCGAACUUUCAGACUUGAGUGCAGGAGAGGGAAGUGGAAUUCCUAGUGUAGCGGUGAAAUGCGUAGAUAUUAGGAGGAACAUCAGUGGCGAAGGCGACUUCCUGGACUGUAACUGACACUGAGGUACGAAAGCGUGGGUAGCAAACAGGAUUAGAUACCCUGGUAGUCCACGCCGUAAACGAUGAGCACUAGGUGUCGGGGUCGCAAGACUUCGGUGCCGCAGUUAACGCAUUAAGUGCUCCGCCUGGGGAGUACGUGCGCAAGCAUGAAACUCAAAGGAAUUGACGGGGGCCCGCACAAGCGGAGGAACAUGUGGUUUAAUUCGAUGAUACGCGAGGAACCUUACCCGGGCUCGAACGGUGCAUGAAUAUACGAGAGAUUGUAUAGUCCUUCGGGACAUGUAUCGAGGUGCUGCAUGGUUGUCGUCAGCUCGUGCCGUGAGGUGUCGGCUUAAGUGCCAUAACGAGCGCAACCCUUGUCAUUAGUUGCCAUCAGGUCAAGCUGGGGACUUUAAUGAGACUGCCACCGUAAGGUGUGAGGAAGGGGGGGAUGACGUCAAAUCAGCACGGCCCUUAUGUCCGGGGCGACACACGUGUUACAAUGGGAGGUACAGAGGGCAGCUAUCCGGUGACGGAAUGCUAAUCUCCAAAACCUUUCUCAGUUCGGAUUGGAGUCUGCAACUCGACUCCAUGAAGGUGGAUUCGCUAGUAAUCGCGCAUCAGCCAUGGCGCGGUGAAUACGUUCCCGGGCCUUGUACACACCGCCCGUCA